UCUUCCCAUCUGGGCAUAGAGCGGUGGUGAAGUAUCAAGGGCAAAAAUUUACUGUGUAGGUGGGGACCAGGGAAGCGCUCACAACUUCUCCCCCCAUCUCUGGGGCUGGAGAAGGAGAGAGAGGCAGCCAGGGUUCCCAUCCCCCAGAUGGGGGUGCAGAAUAGGGCUGCAGUAGGCCUCUGUAGGUCAGAGCAGAGCUCCUCUGAUUGGCUGUUUCAUCAAAAUUCCAGGGUCAGCCAGACUGAGCAAAAACUGACAGGUGAGGAGCCAUGCCACAGACAUUCC
Pipistrellus kuhlii (Kuhl's pipistrelle) is the source of this 285-nucleotide long non-coding RNA. RefSeq lists it as uncharacterized. The record is from RefSeq and is a predicted model, not a curated record. The transcript is spliced from 3 exons. Lineage: Eukaryota; Metazoa; Chordata; Mammalia; Chiroptera; Vespertilionidae.